GACGAACGCUGGCGGCGUGCUUAACACAUGCAAGUCGAACGGAAAGGCCCUGCUUUUGUGGGGUGCUCGAGUGGCGAACGGGUGAGUAACACGUGAGUAACCUGCCCUUGACUUUGGGAUAACUUCAGGAAACUGGGGCUAAUACCGGAUAGGAGCUCCUGCUGCAUGGUGGGGGUUGGAAAGUUUCGGCGGUUGGGGAUGGACUCGCGGCUUAUCAGCUUGUUGGUGGGGUAGUGGCUUACCAAGGAUUUGACGCGUAGCCGUACUGUGAGGGUGACCAGCCAAAUUGGAACUGCAAUCCGGCCCAGACUCCUACGGGAGGAAGCAGUGUGGAAUAUUGCACACUGGGCGGAGGCCUGAUCCAGCAACGCCGCGUGCGGGAUGACGGCCUUCGGGUUGUAAACCACUUUCGCCUGUGACGAAGCGUGAGUGACGGUAAUGGGUAAAGAAGCACCGGCUAACUACGUG
Molecule: ribosomal RNA, 468 nt
Filed under: uncultured bacterium
Lineage: Bacteria
Description: partial 16S ribosomal RNA
Rfam family: Bacterial small subunit ribosomal RNA
Source: RNAcentral